UUAAGUUCAGCGGGUAAUCCUGACUGAUUUGAGGUCUAAAGCUUAAGUUGCUAUAAUAGCGAAUUAGAAGCACCUCUUAUAUUUGAAGAAGACGUCCUUAGCGAAAUAAUUAUUACGCCAAGUCAAACCGUCUAUUUCAAUAGGGUUGCUCGUGUAUUUCAGUUGAGCCGGCCAUUACGCCGACAGACAACCAUAAUCCA
This 200-nucleotide unclassified non-coding RNA is filed under the name uncultured Rhodotorula. RNAcentral describes it as "sequence contains ITS2". Lineage: Eukaryota; Fungi; Basidiomycota. The record is from RNAcentral.